GAUGAACGCUGGCGGCGUGCCUAAUACAUGCAAGUCGAGCGAACGGACGAGAAGCUUGCUUCUCUGAUGUUAGCGGCGGACGGGUGAGUAACACGUGGAUAACCUACCUAUAAGACUGGGAUAACUUCGGGAAACCGGAGCUAAUACCGGAUAAUAUUUUGAACCGCAUGGUUCAAAAGUGAAAGACGGUCUUGCUGUCACUUAUAGAUGGAUCCGCGCUGCAUUAGCUAGUUGGUAAGGUAACGGCUUACCAAGGCAACGAUGCAUAGCCGACCUGAGAGGGUGAUCGGCCACACUGGAACUGAGACACGGUCCAGACUCCUACGGGAGGCAGCAGUAGGGAAUCUUCCGCAAUGGGCGAAAGCCUGACGGAGCAACGCCGCGUGAGUGAUGAAGGUCUUCGGAUCGUAAAACUCUGUUAUGAGGGAAGAACAUAUGUGUAAGUAAAUGUGCACAUCUUGACGGUACCUAAUCAGAAAGCCACGGCUAACUACG
Molecule: ribosomal RNA, 495 nt
Filed under: uncultured bacterium
Lineage: Bacteria
Description: partial 16S ribosomal RNA
Rfam family: Bacterial small subunit ribosomal RNA
Source: RNAcentral